UAUGUGAUCGUCUCUCGCAUAUCAAUAAGCGGAGGAAAAGAAACUAACAAGGAUUCCCCUAGUAACGGCAAGUGAAGCGGGAAGAGCUCAAAUUUGAAAUCUUAAAGGGUUUCCCUUUACGAAUUGUAGUUUAAAGAAGUGUUUUCUGUUGAGGUUUUCGGUAAAAGUUCUUUGGAAUAGGACAUCAUAGAGGGUGAGAAUCCCGUAUUUGACCUUUACUUUCAACUUUGUGAUACACUUUCAAAGAGUCGGAUUGUUUGGGAAUGCAGUCCAAAAUGGGUGGUAAAUUUCAUCUAAAGCUAAAUAUUGGCGAGAGACCGAUAGCGAACAAGUACCGUGAGGGAAAGAUGAAAAGAACUUUGAAAAGAGAGUUAAACAGUACGUGAAAUUGUCAAAAGGGAAGCGUUUGACACCAGUGUUGUUUUUCUGAAAAUCAAUUAAAGAACUGUUUAUGCUAAGUUGUUUAGACUUUAUCAGCUAACUGUUUAGUUUUGAGCUUUUCUUUAAUGCACUUUUCAGUUAACAAGUCAACAUCAAUUUCUUUUGCUGUAAAAAAGCUUGAGGAAGGUGGCUUGAGAUUCGUCUUAAGUGUUUAUAGCCUCUUGCCUAUGCAGUCGGAGAGAUUGAGGUCUGCAGCGUAGAUCCUUCGGGGCUAAAUGCAUUUGUGCUAAGUUAUAGCAUUUUAUAGACAACUUGUUGACUAUGAUUUGUCUUGUAGCUUACUCGCUUAUGUUAUUUUACCUACGCUUAGGAUGUUGAUCUACAGAGCGAGAG
This 774-nucleotide ribosomal RNA is filed under the name uncultured Neocallimastigales. RNAcentral's name for it is "partial large subunit ribosomal RNA". It matches the Rfam family "Eukaryotic large subunit ribosomal RNA", at positions 24 to 630 of the family's 3401-position model. Lineage: Eukaryota; Fungi; Neocallimastigomycota; Neocallimastigomycetes; Neocallimastigales. The record is from RNAcentral.